This 399-nucleotide ribosomal RNA is filed under the name uncultured eukaryote. RNAcentral's name for it is "SSU rRNA". It matches the Rfam family "Eukaryotic small subunit ribosomal RNA", at positions 592 to 994 of the family's 1831-position model. The record is from RNAcentral.
CAAUAGCGUAUAUUAAAGUUGUUGCAGUUAAAAAGCUCGUAGUUGGAUUUCGGAAUGGGCCAGUUGGUCCGCCGCAAGGUGUGUUACUGACUGGUCUGUUCUUCUUCGCAAAGACUGCGUGUGCUCUUCACUGAGUGUGCGUAGGAUUUACGACGUUUACUUUGAAAAAUUAGAGUGUUCAAAGCAGGCUAUCGCUUGAAUACAUGAGCAUGGAAUAAUGGAAUAGGACUUUCGGUUCUAUUUUGUUGGUUUUCUAGGACCGAAGUAAUGAUUAAGAGGGACAAUUGGGGGCAUCCGUAUUUCGUUGUCAGAGGUGAAAUUCUUGGAUUUACGAAAGACGUAACAAACUGCGAAAGCACUUGCCAAGAGUGUUUUCAUUAAUCAAGAACGAAAGUUAGA